This 775-nucleotide ribosomal RNA is filed under the name uncultured Neocallimastigales. RNAcentral describes it as "partial large subunit ribosomal RNA". It matches the Rfam family "Eukaryotic large subunit ribosomal RNA", at positions 24 to 647 of the family's 3401-position model. Lineage: Eukaryota; Fungi; Neocallimastigomycota; Neocallimastigomycetes; Neocallimastigales. The record is from RNAcentral.
UAUCUCUGUAGAGUCUGCAUAUCAAUAAGCGGAGGAAAAGAAACUAACAAGGAUUCCCUUAGUAACGGCGAGUGAAGCGGGAAGAGCUCAAAUUUGAAAUCUUCAAGGUUUCUACCUUGACGAAUUGUAGUUUAAAGAAGUGUUUUCUGUUAGAUGAGUAGCAAAAGUUCCUUGGAAUGGGACAUCAUAGAGGGUGAGAAUCCCGUAUUUGGUUAUUCAUUCUAGCUUUGUGAUACACUUUCAAAGAGUCGGAUUGUUUGGGAAUGCAGUCCAAAAUGGGUGGUAAAUUUCAUCUAAAGCUAAAUAUUGGCGAGAGACCGAUAGCGAACAAGUACCGUGAGGGAAAGAUGAAAAGAACUUUGAAAAGAGAGUUAAACAGUACGUGAAAUUGUCAAAAGGGAAGCGUUUGACACCAGUGUUGUUUUUCCGAAAAUCAAUUACGAAUGGCUUGAUUCUGUGUUGUAUUGACCUUAUCAGCUUUCUGCACUUUUUUCGAGUCUUUCUUAAUGCACUUUUCGGUUAACAAGUCAACAUCAAUUUCUUUUGUUGUAAAAGAGUAUUCGGAAGGUGGCUUUCUUUUCGGAGAAAGUGUUUAUAGCCCUAUACUUCUACAAUCGGAGAGAUUGAGGUCUGCAGCGUAGAUCCUUCGGGGUUAGAUACACUUGUGCUAAGUUGUAGCUUUUCAUAGACAACUUGUUGACUAUGUUUAGUCAUGCGGCUUACUCGCUUAUGCUAUUUUACCUACGCUUAGGAUGUUGACGAGACUGUCGAUCUC